AGCUGACGAGCGGCGGACGGGUGAGUAACACGUAGGAACCUGACCUUUAGAGGGGGACAACCAAGGGAAACUUUGGCUAAUACCGCGUAACCUCGAGAGAGUAAAGUUGCCGCAAGGUGACGCUAAAGGAGGGGCCUGCGUCCGAUUAGCUAGUUGGUGAGGUAAUAGCUCACCAAGGCGAUGAUCGGUAACUGGUCUGAGAGGACGACCAGUCACACUGGGACUGAGACACGGCCCAGACUCCUACGGGAGGCAGCAGUGGGGAAUAUUGGACAAUGGGGGCAACCCUGAUCCAGCGAUGCCGCGUGGGUGAAGAAGGCCUUCGGGUUGUAAAGCCCUUUAGGUUAGGAAGAAGUAUACGGGAAGAUAAUGCCCGUAUAUUGACGGUACUAACAGAAUAAGCACCGGCAAACUCUGUGCCAGCAGCCGCGGUAAUACAGAGGGUGCAAGCGUUAAUCGGAGUUACUGGGCGUAAAGGGCGCGUAGGCGGUUUAAUGAGUGUGAUGUGAAAGCCCUGGGCUUAACCUGGGAAGUGCAUCGCAAACGAUUGAACUGGAGUCUGGGAGAGGGUGGCGGAAUUUCCC
RNAcentral lists this ribosomal RNA (584 nucleotides) under uncultured bacterium. RNAcentral describes it as "bacterial SSU rRNA". It matches the Rfam family "Bacterial small subunit ribosomal RNA", at positions 86 to 672 of the family's 1533-position model. The record is from RNAcentral.